RNAcentral lists this transfer RNA (71 nucleotides) under Bos taurus (domestic cattle). It matches the Rfam family "tRNA". Rfam says of the family: Transfer RNA (tRNA) molecules are approximately 80 nucleotides in length. Their secondary structure includes four short double-helical elements and three loops (D, anti-codon, and T loops). The record is from Rfam by way of RNAcentral. RNAcentral also lists the same sequence under 4 other names. Lineage: Eukaryota; Metazoa; Chordata; Mammalia; Artiodactyla; Bovidae.
CCUUGGUGACUCAGAUAGUAAAGAAUCUGCCUGCAAUGCAGGAGACCCAGGUUCAAUUCCUGGAUCGGGAA